RNAcentral lists this long non-coding RNA (358 nucleotides) under Homo sapiens (human). Its description in RNAcentral is "non-protein coding lnc-TMEM179-4:1". Lineage: Eukaryota; Metazoa; Chordata; Mammalia; Primates; Hominidae. The record is from RNAcentral.
UAUUUUAUCAGUUCUGGAAAAUUCUCAGCCAUAUUGUCAGGGAGCUGGUGGGCUCUCCCCGUUUUAUUUAUUUCCACCUCUUGGAAUUCCUUCCUUCCUUCCCGCCUUCCCACCUUCCCUCCUUCCCUCCUUCCCUCCUUCCUUCCUUCCUUCCAUCCUUCCUUCCCUUCCCUCCCUCCCUCCCUUCCUCCCUCCCUCCCUUCCUUCCUUCCCUCCUUCCCUCCUUUCCUCCCUCUUCAGCCUCCCAAAGUGCUGGGAUUACAGGUGUGAGCCACCGCGCCCGGCUUCUUUUCUUUUCUUUCUUCAGAGUCUCGCUUUCCUGCCCAGGCUGGAGUGAAGUGGCGCAAUCUUGGCUGCA